UUAAGUGGGAACAUACAAUUCAGACUGGUGUUCCAAUUGACUUAAGAGGGUUUAAUACCAGCUACCUCGUUCUACAAGCUAUGGCCAUGUGGGGGAAUGACAGACGACUGAAAUUUGUUGGGGAUGCAAAGACUCUUCGAAGAAACUUUGUGAUUGAUCUUUUAAGUUAUGAGGACAAUUCAUGCCG
Molecule: long non-coding RNA, 187 nt
Organism: Zea mays
Lineage: Eukaryota; Viridiplantae; Streptophyta; Magnoliopsida; Poales; Poaceae
Exons: 3
Source: RefSeq, a predicted model, not a curated record